GAUGAAGAACGUAGCGAAAUGCGAUACGUAAUGUGAAUUGCAGAAUUCAGUGAAUCUUCGAAUCUUUGAACGCAUAUUGCGCUCUCUGGUAUUCCGGAGAGCAUGCUUGUUUGAGUAUCAGUAAACACCUCAACUUCCAUAUCUUUUUUGAAAUGGGAGUUGGACUUGAGUGAUCCCAACGCUUUUCCUCACCGAAAAGUGGCGGGUUACUUGAAAUGCAGGUGCAGCUGGACUUUUCUCUGAGCUAUAAGCAUAUCUAUUUAGUCUGCCUAAAAAACAGAUUAUUACCUUUGCUGCAGCUAACAUAAAGGAGAUUAGUUCUUGUGCUGACUGAUGCAGGAUUCACAAAGACGGCUUCGGCCGACUUUGUAAACUCGAUCUCAAAUCAAGUAAGACUACCCGCUGAACUUAAGCAUAUCAAUAAGCGGAGGA
Molecule: unclassified non-coding RNA, 432 nt
Filed under: soil metagenome
Description: partial contains 5.8S ribosomal RNA, internal transcribed spacer 2, and large subunit ribosomal RNA
Rfam family: 5.8S ribosomal RNA (bases 1-120)
Source: RNAcentral